ACUGACUUGCAUGCAGAGUGUCAAUUUUGACCUAUAAAGCCCUAAAUGGGUUGAGAGCUGCCUGUUUAAGUAGCUACUCUCCUUUUGGCAUUCAGCAGCUGAGGUUAACAGAGAUAUUGGAGAACCCUGCUUUCGAAGAGAGCAAGAGAGAGCUGCUCUUGGAGAAUUCACCUGGAAGGAGACCUUAACUUUGGAACUCGCUCCUCAUGACUCCUUCUCAGUAGCCUAAAUCUGUUGACCUACAGGAUGCACUACAAACUUGUCUACUCCCCCACCGGUUCUGAGAGUGGGAAAGGACCCAUUCUAUAAGUUGGUGAGAGUUUGUGUGAGCCUCUGAGCUUCUUCAACUCCAAUUAAUAUGGAGUCUGAGAUGGCCUUGCAGAUCACUGGCACCUCACAAGAUCAGGCCUACUAACAAGACAUACCACAAGCAUAAGGAAAGAAGAAGACAGCUUCUUGAAACUAGUAGCUGAAAACAAAGGUGCAAAUCUGUUUGGCUGACACAUUCUUCUGAGGUCCCUAAAAGCGACACAUAUCUAUGUUGGCAAGAAGGAGAUCUGAAAGGCAGACACAUUUCUCAUUCCUACCCACUCGACUGGUACUGCAACUGUAAGCUGUCCUGGUGCCUGAUGAUUCUGAGGUGCAAUACCCCAGGAGCAAUGUGAAUCAAGAUUGGAGUCAUGUUACAUUAGGCACCGCAGUGCCUUGAAAGGGUUCAUAAUCUAAGACAAGCAAUGUCUGAAAAGUGUGGGGAGACCAUCAAAUAUAUACGUACUUAUAUACAUUUGCUAUUGAUUUUUAAUUGCAUAAAGGAAUAAACAGGAAUCAACUUUCCCCAGCUGCCCCUCUGCCUAAUCUUCAUAUGCUGGAUGAUUUCCUCUGGAAGUUACCAUUAAAGUGGGUAUUCAGAAAGGAUUUGAUGGAGAAGAGAGGACUAAGGAAGGCCUUCUAUGCAUAAGGGACAGCAUAGAAGAAAUCCUCAAGAUAUUCAUGGGAGGAGUGAGAAAGAGCAUGGCAUUAUUGGUGGGGUAGAAAGUCGAUGUGAUAAGAGGCAAGAGUGGAUAAGUAAAGAGAAGCAAAAACCAAUGGACUACUGACCUGUAACGGUAUUACUCAACAAGAGUAAGGAGGCAGACUCAAGCCCUCUAUGAGUAGUUUAUCUGGCCAUCUUUAAGAGUAGAACAAACAGCAAAGAAGGAGGCCAAAUGCCUCAUCUGUAGUCUUCAGUGUCUGUCAUCUCAGUCUCAUGUUAUUCACUUGGAAUACUCAACGUGAUCCUGUGUUGGUCAAAUGUGGAGUUAUGAGUUGGGAUUUUCAAAGAUUUAGACAUGCAAAUCCUACUAAUUUCAAUAGGAGCUGUGUGGUUUAACAGUCACUUUUGAAAGUCUCAGAUAUAGGUCGUGGUAAUGUCAUUUUCCUGCUUGACAACCCUUUUCCACUCUAAACACUCACUAGUUUUCUUUCUGUCACACAAGUUAUCCAUCUUCUAUUUUUUUGGUGAUAUGGGUACUCUUGACAUAUUUAAUUUAUAGUCACCUUAAUCAGUACUUGCUUCUCCUCUUUGUUUUCCAUAAGUACUUUUUCCCAUCAUUUUUUCUUAUCCUAAAUAAGUACCUAAAAUAGCUACGUUUAGCCUAUACCAUGGCCUCACAACAGGGAAUAUCUCUGUGCCAAGAGCCUUUCCCUACUUUUAAGGAAAGGAAAAUUUAAGAUGAAUAGCAGGAAAGGGAAAUCCCUCAAGAUGAUAUCUAUUCAACUGUGGAGAAAGCACUGGGUGAUGUACAGUAUGGGACCAUCUUGCAUUGUCAGGAAGAUGAACUUGAUAACCUACUAGGUAACUUAACUUACUCACUGGGGUGCUGUGAGGAUUAAUCAGUUAAUGUUUUACAGCCCUAUGAAACUGCAAAGUGCUAUGUAAGUGCUAAAUAUUAUUAUUUUUUAUUACAUCCUUUGCACUUUACAUGCAAGAGUGAACCAUUUUGAGAAGACAAUGCAAGUGUGUCUAUUAUUAUCCAUGUUCUCAAUCAUCGUGAGCAAGUUCUGCAACUCAAAUUUUCAUCUCAAGAGUAUGCUGCUGAAAUGUAAUUAUUGGAGGUGUAUAAAUGGUCUGCUGUCUCAGAUCUUUUGUAAAUGUUAAUCCUAUUCUUAUAAAAACCAACUCUAAAAUGUAGCUGUUUGGAGUUGUUCUGUGUUUCUACAGCACAGUGGGGGUCCUGGUUGAUGGCUGGAGCUCAUAGAUGCUACUCUAAUACAAAUAAAUAAUAAUAGUCAACC
Long non-coding RNA from Chelonia mydas (Green sea turtle), 2274 nucleotides. RefSeq lists it as uncharacterized. The transcript is spliced from 5 exons. The record is from RefSeq and is a predicted model, not a curated record. Lineage: Eukaryota; Metazoa; Chordata; Testudines; Cheloniidae.